Molecule: long non-coding RNA, 1340 nt
Filed under: Pogona vitticeps (central bearded dragon)
Lineage: Eukaryota; Metazoa; Chordata; Lepidosauria; Squamata; Agamidae
Description: lncRNA (ENSPVIG00000006272.1)
Source: RNAcentral
AUUCAGCCUUCUGUGAGAAACAAAAGCUUUAAGGGAAAAACGUUAUGCCAAAACUAAAAGGAAAACCAAAAUCAAAAUCCAAUUCAGAUCUCUACAUUCUUGAAAAGUUCCUGCAGACAUAUGAAAAGCAUUGUAUGCUCUCCCAAACUUGUAUCAGUCCAACUAUAAAACAAGGUUUACAGAAAUGUAUAUCAAAUGAGACAUUAAUCACUAAGUUUUUGCUUACCAAUGUGGAAACCUUAUCAGGAAACCUGCAUCCAGUUUCCCUUACGCCUUUACUAAGGACAAUUCGAGAUGAACGGUAUCAGUUGGGAAAAGAACUGUGUGUUCAGGGAAUUAAGACAAGUCCUCAAGAUAUCGCAAAUCUUGCAAUCUUACUUGAGCUAGAUGGACGUACUAUCUAUCCAUUUUCAAAAUUAGAAAUAACUCAUCAAGUGUUAGAUCUCUGGAGCACGGACAGACUUGGAGUAGCUUUGCCUUACAGCAAUCUGAAUUCUCUUGUAUUGGAUUAUUCAAAAUGUGGAGAUGAUGGUAUCAAUAGGCUUACUUCUGGAUUAGAGGGCAACAGGAAGCUUUUAACUCUGAGUUUUUGCUACUGUGAUUUAGGACCUGAAAGUGGGACAACACUAGCCAGACUUGUAACACAAACUGCCAUUUGUAACCUGUUCCUUAAUGGUAACCACUUGCAAUGUCUGGGUGCCAUUGAACUCCUCAAACCAAUAGCAGAGUAUGCAGAAAAGCUUGGACAAGAAAAGAAGGCAAAUGCUUUGGCAUACAGCAACGAUACUGCUCACGAGAAUCUAGAUGUAAACAAAGCCACGACUAUUCAUUCAAAAGCUGUCAGUUUGAUAACCAAUUCCAAAAGAAAUAGUUCUACUGAAAUGGAAAGCAAUGGAAAGAAAAAGAAAAGAAAAGGCUUUAAAAAAAGAAGUAAGAAACCUGACCCAGGCCCAUGGUUAGCAAAACUGCAUUUGUCUGAUAAUGCUAUAGAUGGAAAGUUUAACCAAGGAGAGAAGAACCUGUGGAAGUUCAUUCUGCUUUUGACCUGUCUGAUCAAGAAUUCUCACCAUCUUGUGGAAGCUGAUAUUAAUGGCAAUGCCAUAGGUGAACAGUGUGCAGUCAAGAUACUGGAAGCUCUUCAGGACCGAAAGAAAGGUGUGACGAUUCUGAUGAAUAGUUUAAAUAUGCCUUCUUAUAUAUCUGUGAAGAUUUCAUUCCUGUGCAGGCUUACCUGGCAGCAAGCAGCACAGAAUAUAAUGGAGAAACAGGGUGGUACUGUGAUCCCUCCUCUGGCCGUACCUAGCCCAUCUGGAACCCAUUUUAGUUUAACCAUACACUGA